Molecule: ribosomal RNA, 427 nt
Filed under: uncultured bacterium
Lineage: Bacteria
Description: bacterial SSU rRNA
Rfam family: Bacterial small subunit ribosomal RNA
Source: RNAcentral
UGGGGAAUCUUGCGCAAUGGGCGGAAGCCUGACGCAGCAACGCCGCGUGAGGGAAGACGGCCUUCGGGUUGUAAACCUCUUUCAGGGGGGACGAAGCUUCCGGGGUUAAUAGCCCACGGGGUGACGGUACCCCCAGAAGAAGCCCCGGCUAACUACGUGCCAGCAGCCGCGGUAAUACGUAGGGGGCGAGCGUUGUCCGGAAUCAUUGGGCGUAAAGCGCGUGUAGGCGGCUUGGUAAGUCCGGUGUGAAACCUUGGGGCUCAACCCCAAGCCUGCACUGGAUACUGCCUCGCUUGAGUCCGGGAGGGGAGAGCGGAAUUCCUAGUGUAGCGGUGAAAUGCGCAGAUAUUAGGAAGAACACCGGUGGCGAAGGCGGCUCUCUGGAACGGUACUGACGCUGAGACGCGAAAGCGUGGGGAGCGAACAG